UAUUUGGCAAUGGGCGCAAGCCUGACCCAGCAACGCCGCGUGCAGGAAGAAGGCUUUCGGGUUGUAAACCUCUUUUAAGAGGGACGAAGUAAGUGACGGUACCUCUUGACUAAGCCACGGCUAACUACGUGCCAGCAGCCGCGGUAAUACGUAGGUGGCAAGCGUUAUCCGGAUUUAUUGGGUGUAAAGGGCGUGUAGGCGGGAGCGCAAGUCAGAUGUGAAAACUCAGGGCUCAACCCUGAGCCUGCAUUUGAAACUGUGUUUCUUGAGUGCUGGAGAGGCAAUCGGAAUUCCGUGUGUAGCGGUGAAAUGCGUAGAUAUACGGAGGAACACCAGUGGCGAAGGCGGAUUGCUGGACAGUAACUGACGCUGAGGCGCGAAAGCGUGGGGAGCAAACAGG
Molecule: ribosomal RNA, 400 nt
Filed under: uncultured bacterium
Lineage: Bacteria
Description: bacterial SSU rRNA
Rfam family: Bacterial small subunit ribosomal RNA
Source: RNAcentral